CAGCCGCCGCGGGAAUACCAGCACCUCGAGUGGUCAGGAGGUUUAUUGGGCCUAAAGCAUCCGUAGCCGGUUGCAUAAGUUUUCGGUUAAAUCUAUGAGCUUAACGUAUAGGCCGCCGAAAAUACUGUGCAGCUAGGGAGUGGGAGAGGUACACGGUACUCGAUAGGAAGGGGUAAAAUCCUUUGAUCUAUUGAUGACCACCUGUGGCGAAGGCGGUGUACCAGAACACGUUCGACGGUGAGGGAUGAAAGCUGGGGGAGCAAACCGGAUUAGAUACCCCAGUAGUCCCUGUCUCUUAUAC
This 301-nucleotide ribosomal RNA is filed under the name uncultured bacterium. RNAcentral's name for it is "partial 16S ribosomal RNA". It matches the Rfam family "Archaeal small subunit ribosomal RNA", at positions 459 to 760 of the family's 1478-position model. The record is from RNAcentral.